RNAcentral lists this ribosomal RNA (429 nucleotides) under uncultured bacterium. RNAcentral describes it as "bacterial SSU rRNA". It matches the Rfam family "Bacterial small subunit ribosomal RNA", at positions 355 to 776 of the family's 1533-position model. The record is from RNAcentral.
UGGGGAAUAUUGCACAAUGGGGGGAACCCUGAUGCAGCCAUGCCGCGUGUGUGAAGAAGGCCUUCGGGUUGUAAAGCACUUUCAGUUGUGAGGAAAGGUUAGUAUUUAAUAAAUGCUAACUGUGACGUUAGCAACAGAAGAAGCACCGGCUAACUUCGUGCCAGCAGCCGCGGUAAUACGAGGGGUGCAAGCGUUAAUCGGAAUUACUGGGCGUAAAGCGUGCGUAGGCGGUUUGUUAAGCAAGAUGUGAAAGCCCAGGGCUCAACCUUGGAACUGCAUUUUGAACUGGCAGACUAGAGUACUGUAGAGGGUGGUGGAAUUUCCAGUGUAGCGGUGAAAUGCGUAGAGAUUGGAAGGAACAUCAGUGGCGAAGGCGGCCACCUGGACAGAUACUGACGCUGAGGCACGAAAGCGUGGGGAGCAAACAGG